RNAcentral lists this unclassified non-coding RNA (867 nucleotides) under Leishmania donovani. RNAcentral's name for it is "gene:LdHU3.30.4330(CDS-product:ribosomal_protein_ S26_putative)". Lineage: Eukaryota; Euglenozoa; Kinetoplastea; Trypanosomatida; Trypanosomatidae. The record is from RNAcentral.
CGAAUUGUGUGUGACAACAACAUGACGACCAAGCGCCGCAACCACGGACGUUCGAAGCCCGCGCACAGCCGCGGUCGCGUCAAGCCGAUCCACUGCUUCAACUGCGGUCGUCUGACCCCGAAGGACAAGGCCGUCGGCCGCUUUGUGGUGCGCCGCAUGCUGGAUGCCGCUUCCGCCCGCGAUGUGGCGGAGGCGUCCCCGGUGUACGGUGCAAACUUCCCGAUGCCGAAGCUGUACAUGAAGCAGCGCUUCUGCAUAGCGUGCGCUAUCCACAGCCGCACCGUGCGCGCUCGCCCGGUCGGAAACCGCAAGAUACGCUACACGAGGAAGGUGCCGUUCCGCCCGGCUGGCAAGAAGUAAAGGAAAAACUGCGCGCGGAGGCAAGGAUGAUUCACACAUGACGCUCUUGCCAACCUGAUUUUUUUACUUUGAGUUUCUCUUCGAAGAAAACAUAGAAACAAAAAAAGACGGGAAGAAGGCCUUCGGUGUGUAGAGGCAAAUCCGGAUGGCCUGAGUUAAACUUCGGGCGUGUGAGGACAGGAUGCAGGAGGCAGGCUAUGCGCUCCGUCUCAACCGUGCGGCAACUCGCACACCGCUGUCCUUCGUAUGGAUACGUCAUUGCUGCUCAUGGCAGUCAAACUACAGACGUGUAAGGGCACGUGUCGCCAUCGAUGCGUUUCGCGUGUCGCCUUCGCGUUCCUUUUCUGCAUAUGACUGGCGUGCGCAAGGCUAUGCCCCCCCCUCCGCAUUGCACGUCAGAGAUCCCUUGGUGAAUUUCGUGCCAUCAGGCUUCUCGAUCCUAAGUGAUUACGUGCUUCACUAUUGUGUUGGUUCUUCUAUUUGCACUCCUCCCUGACUCCUCUCCUU